GAUGAACGCUGGCGGCGUGCCUAAUACAUGCAAGUCGAACGAAACUUCUUUAUCACCGAGUGCUUGCACUCACCGAUAAAGAGUUGAGUGGCGAACGGGUGAGUAACACGUGGGCAACCUGCCCAAAAGAGGGGGAUAACACUUGGAAACAGGUGCUAAUACCGCAUAACCAUAGUUACCGCAUGGUAACUAUGUAAAAGGUGGCUAUACUACCGCUUUUGGAUGGGCCCGCGGCGCAUUAGCUAGUUGGUAGGGUAAAGGCUUACCAAGGCAAUGAUGCGUAGCCGAAGUGAGAGGUUGAUCGGCCACAUUGGGACUGAGACACGGCCCAAACUCCUACGAGAGGCAGCAGUAGGGAAUCUUCCACAAUGGGCGAAAGCCUGAUGGAGCAACGCCGCGUGGGUGAAGAAGGUCUUCGGAUCGUAAAACCCUGUUGUUAGAGAAGAAAGUGCGUGAGAGUAACUGUUCACGUUUCGACGGUAUCUAACCAGAAAGCCACGGCUAACUACGUG
Molecule: ribosomal RNA, 512 nt
Filed under: uncultured bacterium
Lineage: Bacteria
Description: partial 16S ribosomal RNA
Rfam family: Bacterial small subunit ribosomal RNA
Source: RNAcentral